RNAcentral lists this ribosomal RNA (206 nucleotides) under uncultured bacterium. RNAcentral's name for it is "partial 16S ribosomal RNA". It matches the Rfam family "Bacterial small subunit ribosomal RNA", at positions 125 to 334 of the family's 1533-position model. The record is from RNAcentral.
CCUGCCCGGUAGUGGGGAAUAACGCUGCGAAAGCAGCGCUAAUACCGCAUGCGCUUCCUCUCGCUGGGGAGGAAGCAAAGCUUGAUGCGCUAUCGGAGGGGCCCGCGGCAGAUUAGCUAGUCGGUGGGGUAAUGGCCUACCGAGGCAACAAUCUGUAGCUGGUCUGAGAGGAUGAUCAGCCACACUGGGACUGAGACGCGGCCCAG